AACAAAGAAGUGGUAUUGUUU
This 21-nucleotide unclassified non-coding RNA is filed under the name Dictyostelium discoideum. Lineage: Eukaryota; Evosea; Eumycetozoa; Dictyosteliales; Dictyosteliaceae. The record is from RNAcentral.